CCUAUAAGCCCAUGGAAGUUACCUGUCGGGUUAGGUUGUUACGGCCAGGUGUUCCCAUGCUUGUUUCAGCCUUUCCCCAGUUGUAACCGUGCCAGCUCAGAGACUUUCUCCCAUACAUUGGAGGAAAUGCCAACCAAUGCAAGAUCGGGAAUCUUUCCCAAACAUUAGGAGAGCUAGCUGGCCCCACAACCAAAGCACUAACAGUCCAACAAUGAUCACUGGACUCUUUGGCUACAGUAAUUUUGGAUAAUGGCACAGCCCUUGAUUAUCUACUGGCUGAAUAAGGAGGAGUCUGGACAAGAGUGAAUACCGCCUGCUACACGUGGAUAAAUUCCUCUGGGGAAGUAAAUACCUACCUGCAUAAAAUCAGAGAAUAAGCACUUUGGCUGCAAAGAAUUCUGCCUAAUGACCUAUGAGCCUUAGAUCUAUUUAACUAUCGAUUUCAUCUUUUUGAAACUAACAAAUUUCUGGAACAGGAAAAGAAAACUCCAACUGGCCUAGACAAAUUCGAGCUCAACCACCAGGGAGACGCCUGCACAGCUGAGCCAUAAAGUGCUGGACGGUUACCUCAACUUCAUUAUAACGUUAGGAUCUCUGCCCUGGGGCAGGAACAUAAGGUUCAUUAACAUAACCUAUGGUGCAUAUAUAGGUAUGUUUUCUAAGUGCACAUGCACAAACCUAUGUUCGCCUUUUAUAUGCAGUGAUGAAACUCCCCCUCUGAAUAUUCAUCUCAAACCCCCAAGUUAAGAGAAUUGGUUCAACCCUUCUUGGAGAGUCAUGGCUUUGGAAGUUAUUCCCCUUGAUCUCCUUAGUUGCUGCAAAUAAAGUUUCCUUUGUGUGACAACUC
Molecule: long non-coding RNA, 847 nt
Organism: Leopardus geoffroyi (Geoffroy's cat)
Lineage: Eukaryota; Metazoa; Chordata; Mammalia; Carnivora; Felidae
Exons: 2
Source: RefSeq, a predicted model, not a curated record